This 85-nucleotide transfer RNA is filed under the name Felis catus (domestic cat). It matches the Rfam family "tRNA". From Rfam's summary of the family: Transfer RNA (tRNA) molecules are approximately 80 nucleotides in length. Their secondary structure includes four short double-helical elements and three loops (D, anti-codon, and T loops). Lineage: Eukaryota; Metazoa; Chordata; Mammalia; Carnivora; Felidae. The record is from Rfam by way of RNAcentral.
GCCUGGGUGGCUCAGUCAGUUGAGCAUCUGACUUCGGCUCAGGUCAUGAUCUCACAGCUCGUGAGUUCAAGCCCCACGUCAGGCU